GACGAACGCUGGCGGCGUGCUUAACACAUGCAAGUCGAACGGUAAGGCCCUGCUUUUGUGGGGUUCUCGAGUGCCGAACAGGUGAGUAUCACGUGAGUAACCUGCCCUUUACUUUGGGAUAACUUCUUGAAACUGGGGCUAUUACCGGAUAUGACCUCCUUCUGCAUGGUUUUUGUUGUAAAGUUUCGGGGGUUGGGGAUGGACUCGCGGCUUAUCAGCUUGUUGGUGGGGUAGUGGCUUACCAAGGCGUUGACGGGUAGCCGGACUGAGAGGGUGACCGGCCACAUUGGGACUGAGAUACGGCCCAGACUGCUACGGGAGGCAGCAGUGGGGAAUAGUGCACGAUGGGCGGAAGCCGGAAGCAGGAACGCCGCGUGCGGGAUGACGGCCUGCGGGGUGUAAACCGCUUGCGCCUGUGACGAAGAGUGAGUGACGGUAAUGGGUAAAGAAGCACCGGCUAACUACGUG
Molecule: ribosomal RNA, 468 nt
Filed under: uncultured bacterium
Lineage: Bacteria
Description: partial 16S ribosomal RNA
Rfam family: Bacterial small subunit ribosomal RNA
Source: RNAcentral